CUAGGAGAGCCGAAAACAGUUCUAGACUGACCUGCGGUUUUAUAGCACUUUGGCAGUCAACUUCAGCUUGUGUCAGAGCAGACAUGACAGAGCUGCCCAACGCUUAAACGCGGGACGCCACCUCCUCGGACUCACUGCAGCCCCCCUCUUGCAUGUCAAUAAAUUUCAAACCUUGGGGCUAGAAAUGGGGAGCAGAGCUG
Molecule: long non-coding RNA, 200 nt
Organism: Pterocles gutturalis (yellow-throated sandgrouse)
Lineage: Eukaryota; Metazoa; Chordata; Aves; Pterocliformes; Pteroclidae
Rfam family: HOXA11 antisense RNA 1 conserved region 5
Source: Rfam